UCUCGGUACUCAGGAAUCAAGCCUGGUGGUGCUUGGGGGGGCCAUAUAGGGUGUUGGAGAUCAAACCUGGGUUGCCCAUGUGCAAGGCAAACGCCCUGCCCGCUGUAAUAUCUCUCUGGCACCGUUUUUUCCAAUCGAACGUUUUCUUUGGAGAUAAUGCUGCCUAGGGGGUGGCCUCGCUAGUGAGCCUCCUGGAGGUGUGGCCUCUCCUGUGCCCCUCCUGGGGUUGGGCUUCCCUUGUGGGCCCCGCCCCAGGGGUGUGACCUCUCCUGGGAGUGAGUGGCCUGGGGGCGUGGCCUCGCCUGUGCCCCUCCUGGGGUUGGGCUUCCCUUGUGGGCGCCCCCCAGGGGUGUGACCUCUCCUGGGAGUGAGUGGCCUGGGGGCGUGGCCUCGCCUGUGAGCCGCCUGGGGGUGUGGCCUCACUCCUAUUUCCGGCUUCGUUCCCGGGAGGUCUCGCCCCUGAGAGGGCUUCUUUCCGCUCCAGCUUCUGGUCCGCUGUGCGCUGUUUCAGGGGAGGGAGUUCGUCUCUGCCGGUUGCGUGACUGCACGUUGCGAUGGAGCACGCCAUGACCGAAGGUCUGUCUUCGCCCAGACUCCUCGGUGUUGUUUGUUUCCGGCUGUUUUCUCUGUGAGGGUUGCAGACUCUGGUCAGCUCUAGCAGCGUCUUCCACUCAGGCUCUGUGCGGGCGCCGGCCUGCGAGCGUCUAUCCGCCCGCCCACUCUCCCCUGCAGCGAAGCAACCUGAGGGCUUGUGACUUUUCCCUCACAUCCCAGCCAGGGCUCAGAGUGGCCUUCUUUGGCCAGAGUCGGGUGUUUUGUUCUUGUUUUUCCGAAUUUUCCUCGCUGAGACAAAGUAAACUUCCUUCACUGAGACAAAGAACAGGAGCUGCAAAAGGAAGAGGCCAGACAGGGGAAGAACUUUGAGAUGUGCCAGGAGUUCGAGCAGAAUGCUAGUGCGUUCCUUCAGUGGGUCUGGGAGACCAGCCUACUUCCUGGACGGUCAGUAUUCUGCUCUUGUGUCUGCUGUGCUGUCUUAUCCGGGAACCUUAUGCUGAGCCCACGUAGACUGGAUCAGCUCAGGAGCAAAAUUGGGCUGAGACCAUGAGCCAAGCUCUCACCCAGACCCUGCCCCCCGCCAGGUGGGGGACCCUGCUAGUGGAAUCUCAGUUGGAAGGCAAUGAAGGGAGUGGUGUGUAUUCUAGAGAUGAGGAGAUUAUACAAGGAAUUCAGGUAAGGGCUGGAGAGAUAGCACAGCGGGGAGGGCAUUUGCUUUGCAUGCGGCCAACCCGGGUUCAAUUCCCAGCAUCCCAUAUGGCAUAUGGUCCCCUGAGCAUGGCCAGGAGUAAUUCCUGAGUUCAGAGCCAGGAGUAACCCCUGUGCAUUGCCAGGUGUGACCCAAAAAGCAAAAAAAAAAAAGAAAAAAGAAUUCCAUAAGCCACUUCAGUGCUCCUGAUGUAGGCAGGUAGAUAAGGAAAGGCCCUUUGCAAUGAAAUAGAUUAACAAAGUCUCUGGGAAGGAGAAUCCUGAGACUGACCCACCUUGUGGAUACAGAAAACAGACCUGAUAAGAACUUCAGCAGACCCUGAGGAGGUUGGACCCCUCCCCACGAAGUUCCUCAAAUUCUUUCGACCUCUCCCUUAAUCUGAUUAAAAUGUGAUCUUGCCUAAAGAAGACCAUCACAACUCCCAACCUCCCUGGUAACCUCCUUAGCAACGGACUUUUACCUGGGAAGAAGCCCCAGGUGGGGGCAGGUUGAAGAGACCCUAUAAAAGACACCGUGAACAAAGGAAGCAUGCGCAUAUGCUGCCUGAGCCCAUGUGCUGCUUGUGCCCACGUGGCCGAGCACAUGUGGUGCCCAAGCACAGGUGUCGCCCGCAUCUCCCCCCUUGAGAUGUGUACUUUCAUGCUUUCGUGUCCAGUGCUAGGAUAUGUGUAGAACUCUCUCCACCCUUGGAGAAGCCCGCAUUCUCUCUUGAGCGCGUUAUUCUUACUAUUCUCUCUCCCACUUAUCCCUUCCUCCUGAUGUAGGCAGGUAGAUAGGGAAAGGCCCUUAACAAUGAAACUUAGAUUAAUAAAGUCUCUGGAAAGGAGAAUCCUGAGACUGACCCACCUUGUGUGUACAGAAAACAGUCCUGAUAAGACCUUCAGCAGACCCUGAGGAGGUUGGACCCCUCCCCACGAAGUUCCUUGAAUUCUAUUUGACCUUUCCCUUAAUCUGAUUAAAAUGUGAUCCAGCCUAGGGGCUGGAGCAAUAGCACAGCGGGUAGGGCGUUUGCCUUGCACGCGGCCGACCCGGGUUCGAUUCCCAGCAUCCCAUAUGGUCCCCUGAGCACCGCUAGGAGUCAUUCCUGAGUGCAGAGCCAGGAGUAACCCCUGUGCAUCGCCAGGUGUGACCCAAAAAGCAAAAAAAAAAAAAAAAAUGUGAUCCAGCCUAAAGAAGACCCAACCUCCCUGGUAACCUCCUUAGCAACGGACUUUUACCUGGGAAGAAGCCCAAGGUGGGGGCAGGUUGAAGAGACCCUAUAAAAGACACUGUGAACAAAGGAAGCCCGCGCAUAUGCUGCCUGAGCCAUGUGCUGCUUGUGCCCACCAUGCCGAUCACAUUUGGUGCCCGAGCACAGGUGUCGCCCGCAUCUCCCCCCUUGAGAUGUGUACUUUCAUGCUUUCGUGCCCAGUGCUAGGAUGUGUGUAGAGCUCUCUCGAUCCUCGGAGGAGCCCGAGUUCUCUCUUGAGCGCGUUACUCCUGCUGUUUUUUUCUUUUCCACUUAUCCCUUCCUCCUUCCC
Molecule: long non-coding RNA, 2784 nt
Organism: Sorex araneus (European shrew)
Lineage: Eukaryota; Metazoa; Chordata; Mammalia; Eulipotyphla; Soricidae
Exons: 3
Source: RefSeq, a predicted model, not a curated record